This 775-nucleotide ribosomal RNA is filed under the name uncultured Neocallimastigales. RNAcentral's name for it is "partial large subunit ribosomal RNA". It matches the Rfam family "Eukaryotic large subunit ribosomal RNA", at positions 22 to 644 of the family's 3401-position model. The record is from RNAcentral. Lineage: Eukaryota; Fungi; Neocallimastigomycota; Neocallimastigomycetes; Neocallimastigales.
GUACACGCUGUGACUAGCAUAUCAAUAAGCGGAGGAAAAGAAACUAACAAGGAUUCCCCUAGUAACGGCGAGUGAAGCGGGAAGAGCUCAAAUUUGAAAUCUUAAAGGGUUUCCCUUUACGAAUUGUAGUUUAAAGAAGUGUUUUCUGUUGAGGUUUUGGUAAAAGUUCUUUGGAAUAGGACAUCAUAGAGGGUGAGAAUCCCGUAUUUGACCUUUACUUUCAACUUUGUGAUACACUUUCAAAGAGUCGGAUUGUUUGGGAAGUGCAGUCCAAAAUGGGUGGUAAAUUUCAUCUAAAGCUAAAUAUUGGCGAGAGACCGAUAGCGAACAAGUACCGUGAGGGAAAGAUGAAAAGAACUUUGAAAAGAGAGUUAAACAGUACGUGAAAUUGUCAAAAGGGAAGCGUUUGACACCAGUGUUGUUUUUCUGAAAAUCAAUUAAAGAACUGUUUAUGCUAAGUUGUUUAGACUUUAUCAGCUAACUGUUUAGUUUUGAGCUUUUCUUUAAUGCACUUUUCAGUUAACAAGUCAACAUCAAUUUCUUUUGCUGUAAAAAAGCUUGAGGAAGGUGGCUUGAGAUUCGUCUUAAGUGUUUAUAGCCUCCUGCCUAUGCAGUCGGAGAGAUUGAGGUCUGCAGCGUAGAUCCUUCGGGGCUAAAUGCAUUUGUGCUAAGUUAUAGCAUUUUAUAGACAACUUGUUGACUAUGAUUUGUCUUGUAGCUUACUCGCUUAUGUUAUUUUACCUACGCUUAGGAUGUUGACUGAUAUGUAGUCGUA